UACAUUGGAGGGCAAGUCUGGUGCCAGCAGCCGCGGUAAUUCCAGCUCCAAUAGCGUAUAUUAAAGUUGUUGCAGUUAAAAAGCUCGUAGUUGGAUAUCUGCUGGAAGCAAUCAGUCCGCCCUUUUCAUAAGGGUGUGCACUUGAUGAAUUCUGGCAUGAUUUCAUCCUGAUAAUGAUAAUAAUAUGUUGUUAUAAUAUUAGGUUGAUUCCUAGUAUAAUAAUAACAUUAUUAUUGUUAUGGGGAUGACAGUUACUUUGAGAAAAUUAGAGUGUUUGAAGCAGGCUUUUGUUGCCUUGAAUACUGCAGCAUGGAAUAACAAUAUAGGAUUUCGGUUCUAUUGUUUUGUUGGUUUUUUCUGUAGGACUGAAAUAAUGAUUAAUAGGGACAGUUGGGGGCAUUCGUAUUUAACUGUCAGAGGUGAAAUUCUUAGAUUUGUUAAAGACGAACUACUGCGAAGCAUUUGCC
This 467-nucleotide ribosomal RNA is filed under the name Sarcocystis medusiformis. RNAcentral's name for it is "bacterial SSU rRNA". It matches the Rfam family "Eukaryotic small subunit ribosomal RNA", at positions 539 to 959 of the family's 1831-position model. The record is from RNAcentral. Lineage: Eukaryota; Apicomplexa; Conoidasida; Eucoccidiorida; Sarcocystidae.